ACGAAGGGUGCAAGCGUUACUCGGAAUUACUGGGCGUAAAGCGUGCGUAGGUGGUUUGUUAAGUCUGAUGUGAAAGCCCUGGGUUCAACCUGGGAAUGGCGCUGGAUACUGGCAAGCUAGAGUAUGGCAGAGGGGAGUGGAAUUCCUGGUGUAGCAGUGAAAUGCGUAGAGAUGAGGAGGAACAUCGAUGGCGAAGGCAGCCCCCUGGGACAUGACUGACGCUCAGGUACGAAAGCGUGGGGAGCAAACAG
This 251-nucleotide ribosomal RNA is filed under the name uncultured prokaryote. RNAcentral's name for it is "partial 16S ribosomal RNA". It matches the Rfam family "Bacterial small subunit ribosomal RNA", at positions 525 to 775 of the family's 1533-position model. The record is from RNAcentral.